This 411-nucleotide ribosomal RNA is filed under the name uncultured bacterium. RNAcentral describes it as "bacterial SSU rRNA". It matches the Rfam family "Archaeal small subunit ribosomal RNA", at positions 335 to 747 of the family's 1478-position model. The record is from RNAcentral.
GCAGGCGAGAAUCCUCCACAAUGUGGGCAACCACGAUGGGGGAACUCCAAGUGCCUACACUUUUGUGUAGGCUGUUCUCGAGCCUAAAAAGCUCGAGAAGUAAGGGCCGGGUAAGACGGGUGCCAGCCGCCGCGGUAAUACCCGCGGCCCGAGUGGUGCUCAUUAUUAUUGAGCCUAAAGCGUCCGUAGCUGGCCGGGCAAAUCUCCGGGUAAAUCGGGCCGCCCAACGGUCCGAAUUCCGGAGACACUGCACGGCUUGGGAUCGGGAGAGGGUGAAGGUACUCCCUGGGUAGGGGUAAAAUCCUGUAAUCCGGGGGGGACCACCAGUGGCGAAGGCGUUCACCUAGAACGAAUCCGACAGUGAGGGACGAAGCCCUAGGGCGCAAACGGGAUUAGAUACCCCCGUAGUCC